UACAGGGGGUGCAAACGUUGCUCGGAAUUAUUGGGCGUAAAGCGUGCGCAGGCGGUGAUGUAAGACAGAUGUGAAAUCCCCGGGCUCAACCUGGGAACUGCAUUUGUGACUGCAUCGCUGGAGUGCGGCAGAGGGGGAUGGAAUUCCGCGUGUAGCAGUGAAAUGCGUAGAUAUGCGGAGGAACACCGAUGGCGAAGGCAAUCCCCUGGGCCUGCACUGACGCUCAUGCACGAAAGCGUGGGGAGCAAACAGG
RNAcentral lists this ribosomal RNA (253 nucleotides) under uncultured bacterium. Its description in RNAcentral is "partial 16S ribosomal RNA". It matches the Rfam family "Bacterial small subunit ribosomal RNA", at positions 524 to 776 of the family's 1533-position model. The record is from RNAcentral.